CUACAGAAGGUUUGUAAAGGGGUUUGCUCGAUAUGCGGCACCUCUACACAGAUUAGUGGGGGAGCUCCAAGGUAAGGGAAAGAAGCGAGGUUCAGGCACUAAUACUUUGUUGAAAGGACGAUGGACAGAAGUUUUGGAGAAUGCCUUUGUGGUUUUGAAGAGGUCGCUGGUAGAGGUCCCAGUGUUAGGCUAUGCCGAUUUCUCUAAGCCAUUUGUGUUAGAGAUAGAUGCUAGUCAGGUCGGUCUUGGUGCAGUAUUGUCUCAAGAACAGGAGGGUCAGCGGAGGCCUAUUGCUUAUGCUAGUCGGGGCUUGCGCCCUACAGAAAGGAACAUGUCAAACUACAGUUCAAUGAAACUGGAGCUCUUGGCCCUUAAGUGGGCCAUCUCCGAGAAGUUUCGGGAAUAUUUGCUGGGAGCUAAAUUUGUGGUAUUUACAGACAACAACCCCUUGAGUUAUCUGCAGACUGCAAAGUUGGCUGCCGUAGAGCAGCGUUGGGUGUCCGAGUUGGCUUUGUUUGAUUUUGAGCUGAAAUAUCGCCCUGGUACAGCCAAUCGCAAUGCGGAUGCACUCUCCCGCCUGCCCGUAGAUUUAGCUCCUAAUAGUGUUGGGGAGGUUGUUUCUGGCAUAACCUUGCCUCGGGUACUUUCAUCAGUUCAGUGUUUAAGAUCUGUUCCUAACUUUACCCUAACCUCAGAAAUAGCAGCGGUGCCUUUCCGUGAGAAAGCAGACAUGCAAGCUCUGCAGGCUGCAGAUUCUCACAUUGCUGCAUUUUUGAAAUAUUGGCGAAGAGGAGUGGCCCCUACUCGUUAUGAAAGGGCUAAGGAGUCUAGGGAAGUACUGGAGCUGGUUCGCCAGUGGAAACGUGUUCGACAGAAAGAUGGAGUUUUGUAUAGGGAAGUUUUCCUGCCUCCAGGGAAGGUUAGAGUACUACAGGUUGUAUUGCCUGGGGUCUUAAGGAAGGAAGUUUUGGAGGGUCUUCAUGACCAUCAUGGUCAUCAAGGUAUAGAGAGGACAACCACUUUGGUGAGGGAGAGAUGUUUCUGGCCCAAUCUGCGGCACGAUGUUGAACAAUGGUGUAUCAAAUGUGAGCGCUGCGUGGUCUCCAAGGCUUUACGCCCCAAAGUUCGGACAACCAUGGGGCAUUUGAUGGCAUCAAGGCCCUUGGAAAUUCUCACUAUCGAUUUUACUCUUUUAGAACGGGCAAGCAAUGGAUGUGAGAAUGUGCUUGUAGUUACCGACGUAUUUUCUAAGUUUACUCAAGCUUACCCAACUCGAGAUCAAAAGGCUAGCACUGUGGUUCGUAUCCUGACAGAGAGGUGGUUCUAUGUUUAUGGGGUGCCAAAACGUAUCCAUUCAGAUCAGGGGCGAAAUUUUGAAGGAGAAUUGCUUAAGC
Molecule: long non-coding RNA, 1394 nt
Filed under: Sinocyclocheilus anshuiensis
Lineage: Eukaryota; Metazoa; Chordata; Actinopteri; Cypriniformes; Cyprinidae
Description: lncRNA (ENSSANG00000031113.1)
Source: RNAcentral